AAUAGAUACCCGGGUAGUCCACGCCGUAAACGAUGAGUGCUAAGUGUUAGGGGGUUUCCGCCCCUUAGUGCUGCAGCUAACGCAUUAAGCACUCCGCCUGGGGAGUACGGUCGCAAGACUGAAACUCAAAGGAAUUGACGGGGGCCCGCACAAGCGGUGGAGCAUGUGGUUUAAUUCGAAGCAACGCGAAGAACCUUACCAGGUCUUGACAUCCUCUGACAAUCCUAGAGAUAGGACGUCCCCUUCGGGGGCAGAGUGACAGGUGGUGCAUGGUUGUCGUCAGCUCGUGUCGUGAGAUGUUGGGUUAAGUCCCGCAACGAGCGCAACCCUUGAUCUUAGUUGCCAGCAUUUAGUUGGGCACUCUAAGGUGACUGCCGGUGACAAACCGGAGGAAGGUGGGGAUGACGUCAAAUCAUCAUGCCCCUUAUGACCUGGGCUACACACGUGCUACAAUGGACAGAACAAAGGGCAGCGAAACCGCGAGGUUAAGCCAAUCCCACAAAUCUGUUCUCAGUUCGGAUCGCAGU
Molecule: ribosomal RNA, 527 nt
Filed under: uncultured bacterium
Lineage: Bacteria
Description: bacterial SSU rRNA
Rfam family: Bacterial small subunit ribosomal RNA
Source: RNAcentral